GAUCCUGGCUCAGGAUGAACGCUGGCGGCGUGCCUAAUACAUGCAAGUCGAGCGAACCACUUCGGUGGUGAGCGGCGAACGGGUGAGUAACACGUAGGUUAUCUGCCCAUCAGACGGGGACAACGAUUGGAAACGAUCGCUAAUACCGGAUAGGACGAAAGUUUAAAGGUGCUUCGGCACCACUGAUGGAUGAGCCUGCGGCGCAUUAGCUAGUUGGUAGGGUAAAGGCCUACCAAGGCGACGAUGCGUAGCCGACCUGAGAGGGUGAACGGCCACACUGGGACUGAGACACGGCCCAGACUCCUACGGGAGGCAGCAGUAGGGAAUCUUCGGCAAUGGGCGAAAGCCUGACCGAGCAACGCCGCGUGAAAGAUGAAGGCCUUCGGGUUGUAAAAUUCUGUUAUAAGGGAAGAAUGGCUCUAGUAGGAAAUGGCUAGAGUGUGACGGUACCUUAUGAGAAAGCCACGGCUAACUACGUG
RNAcentral lists this ribosomal RNA (479 nucleotides) under uncultured bacterium. RNAcentral describes it as "bacterial SSU rRNA". It matches the Rfam family "Bacterial small subunit ribosomal RNA", at positions 15 to 507 of the family's 1533-position model. The record is from RNAcentral.